RNAcentral lists this small RNA (83 nucleotides) under Marmota monax (woodchuck). Lineage: Eukaryota; Metazoa; Chordata; Mammalia; Rodentia; Sciuridae. The record is from RNAcentral.
GCCAAGUAUAGUGGUGCAUGCUUGUAAUCCCAGCAACUUGGGAGGCUGAGGCUGGAGGAUCACAAGUUCAAGGCUAGCCUCAG